This 253-nucleotide ribosomal RNA is filed under the name uncultured bacterium. Its description in RNAcentral is "partial 16S ribosomal RNA". It matches the Rfam family "Bacterial small subunit ribosomal RNA", at positions 524 to 776 of the family's 1533-position model. The record is from RNAcentral.
UACGUAGGGUGCGAGCGUUGUCCGGAUUUAUUGGGCGUAAAGGGCUCGUAGGCGACCUGUCGCGUCGGGAGUGAAAGCCCACUGCUUAACGGUGGGUCUGCUUCCGGUACGGGCGGGCUGGAGUAUGGCAGGGGAGACUGGAAUUCCUGGUGUAGCGGUGAAAUGCGCAGAUAUCAGGAGGAACACCGAUGGCGAAGGCAGGUCUCUGGGCCGAUACUGACGCUGAGGAGCGAAAGCGUGGGGAGCGAACAGG